UACAUACUCCAUACAUGGAAAUAAUAUAGACUGAUAUAGGAUCUCACUAACAAUGAAAAAUAUUAUGUGGGAUACAGGUUGUCAUGUGAUCCUAAAAAUUACUCUAAUCAAAUUGUAAUAAUAAAGAAAACUAAUAUAGGUCGACACAGAAUCACGCUGAUAAGAAAAAUAUUAUGAGUGAUACACAAAAUUAUUCUAAUAUAAGAGAUCAACUCUAUUUGAGGGAUAGAGGCCAGAAGAUAUGAAAUUAACGGUGUGAGGAGAACUAAAAGUAGAAUAUCUUGUUCUCAUCUAGUUAACAUACAAGAUAUUUAAGCAAUAAGCUACAAAAUUCCUUAGGAUUAGAAUACCCAAGAUUAUGUAGAAUAGUUUUAUGUUUUACAUAGAAUUAAACCUUACAUGUGAUCCUCAACUUUCUCCUCCUUUAUGUGUAAGCCAAUUUAUCUCUCUCUUGAGUCUACUACACUGCUACACUCGAAUCAAGCUUCCGGCUCAAUCACUCUUGAGUGCACCACGAUUACCACUCCAAUCAAGAACCCACUCUCCAAGAGUCACACUACAUUUCAUCUAGUGCGUUACCACUCCAAUCCAAGACUCCUGCUCUCUAAGAAUCCACUCUCCAAGAGUCAAAUCUCUUUCCUCCUUUGCAAAAUGUUAGAUAGGUAGUGCAAGUAGAGUAAAAAGUCUUUGCAAUUCUAGAUGCAGAAAAUUCCAUAAUAAGGAUGCAUGGUGGAUAUCAAAUCUAUUUUCUUUUUUCCCUCCCGUUUUAAUUUUAUUGAUACCUCAACAUGCAAAUAAGACUUUUUUAGAUUUUAAAUCUUAAGUGCUUCUUCACAAUCUUGUAUAAUAUUCAUAUUAUUUGUCUUCACAUAAUCUUUCACUACAACAAAUGUUGGUUUUUCCGACUAACUUUUUCCGACGCUAGGGGAAAGCGUCGGUAAAGUUUGGCUCAGCGCCAACCUUUUCCGACGCUUUGGGUUAGCGUUGGAAAAGCGAAACAAACAACGACGCUCUAAAGCGUCGUUAUAAGUUUGAGAAACAACGACGCUUAUAAGCGUCGUUAGAAAACUUAAAACCCCAACACCUCGCUCGAUCGGCCCCCUCUUCUCAUUUUCUAUCUGCAACGACGCUCUAAAGCGUCGUUAUAAGUUUAAGAAACAACGACGCCUAUAAGCGUCGUUAGAAAACUUAAAACUCCAACACCUCGCUCGAUCGGCCCCCUCUCCUCAUUUCCUAUCUGCGAGCCCUAGCCCCUCUCCUCAUUUCCUAUCUGCGAGCGCGCCGACUUCUCCGCUGCCGUGGACCUCUCCUUCUGAGGUAAGCCCUAGCUCGAUCGGCCCCCUCUCCUUCUGAGCCCUAAUCUCACCUCUAUCCCUAGCCCCGAUCGGCGAUCGAAGACUCCGCUACUCCGCCGUCGUCGACCUUGCCGUCGUCUGAGCUGCGCGCCGACAUCUCACCUCCAUCCCGAGCGAGCCGUAGCUACUCCGCCACCGUCGACAUCGCCGUCGUCUGAGAUUACAAUAUGCCGCGAGGAAAACGUUUUAGAAAUAUUGAGUUUCAGCACACAUCCGUGGGAUCUACUUUUGAUCGUUCCCAGCAGCCCGAUGAGCCCCAUACUCAGUCCGGGUCCCAGUCUGAGCAUGCCCCACCUGCUGAUCGUCCAGACACGGAUGAUGUGGACGUCCUGGAUGGACUGAGGAGAGUGAGGAGAACACGAGGGCCCACUCGAGCACGGGACGUAUGGAGCCUACCUGAGGAUGAGAAGAUUGUCGUCCAUUGCAACGAACUGGGGCAGCCCAUCAAGAAUACUGCAAGCAUUUUAUCCACUUUUUUAGGAUCAGUUGCGCGGAAGGGACAAUUGUGUCCGCUCAACUAUACGAAAUGGAAUGAAAUGCUUCCUUCGUAUAAGAUUUAGCUUCUUAGAAUUGUUGAGGUAAAGAAUUGAAGUUGCUUACU
This is a non-coding RNA of Phoenix dactylifera (date palm), 1956 nucleotides long. The record is from RefSeq and is a predicted model, not a curated record. NCBI's taxonomy places the organism in Eukaryota, Viridiplantae, Streptophyta, Magnoliopsida, Arecales, Arecaceae.